ACCGGUUCUUGCCUUUGCCAGGCUUC
This 26-nucleotide non-coding RNA is filed under the name Mus musculus (house mouse). The record is from RNAcentral. Lineage: Eukaryota; Metazoa; Chordata; Mammalia; Rodentia; Muridae.